UGAUCCUUGCUUCACCUCAAACCCAUACUCAUCAUUCCAGAAAAUGUUACAUUUCAUUGACCUUUUAGUGUUCUCUUCCAAGACUUUCAUGACCAUUGGUGAAAAAUCACUAAUCCAUGUGUUUUCAAACUGUCUUAGCUAACCUAUUAUAUAUUUAUCAUCUUCACCCUUAUUUCUUCAAGCAUUAUCACUAUAGUCUUCUGCCUUGCUGCCAAAAUCCAGGCAUUGAAACAUUCUGUCAUAUUGUUGUCAACAAUAUCAGACUUGCAGAAAGUGUUGUAGUACACCUUACUAUAUCUUUUAAUGUUGUAGUAUAAUAGUUCAUCAACUAUGUUAGUCCCCAAUGUUUCCAUGUCAUCUAGAUUUUUCUUCAAUUCCCACUCAUAGGUAGACCUUACACACCUACGAAAGAAGUUUCUUCUCUUUAUGCCCCUCCAUUUCUUAGACCGGUUAGCUAGGAUAUGCCUUGCACACAUUCUAUGCUCAAACUUUGGAAGUAGGUCUGCUAUAGCAUUCUCA
This 519-nucleotide long non-coding RNA is filed under the name Nicotiana benthamiana. Its description in RNAcentral is "long non-coding RNA (NBEN_LNC021045)". Lineage: Eukaryota; Viridiplantae; Streptophyta; Magnoliopsida; Solanales; Solanaceae. The record is from RNAcentral.